GAGCACGUAGGUGGGUUUGUAAGUCAGAUGUGAAAGCCUUCUGUUCAACGGGAGAAUUGCAUCUGAAACUGCUAAUCUUGAGUAUAGGAGGGGAGAAUGGAACUUUUGGUGGAGCGGUGAAAUGCGUAGAUAUCAGAAGGAACGCCGGCGGCGAAAGCGAUUCUCUGGCCUAUUACUGACACUCAGUGUGCGAAAGCUAGGGGAGCAAACGGGAUUAGAUACCCCGGUAGCCUGCUAU
RNAcentral lists this ribosomal RNA (238 nucleotides) under Candidatus Scalindua marina (nom. nud.). RNAcentral's name for it is "Candidatus Scalindua marina partial 16S ribosomal RNA". It matches the Rfam family "Bacterial small subunit ribosomal RNA", at positions 565 to 803 of the family's 1533-position model. The record is from RNAcentral. Lineage: Bacteria; Pseudomonadati; Planctomycetota; Candidatus Brocadiia; Candidatus Brocadiales; Candidatus Scalinduaceae.